This 440-nucleotide ribosomal RNA is filed under the name uncultured bacterium. RNAcentral's name for it is "partial 16S ribosomal RNA". It matches the Rfam family "Bacterial small subunit ribosomal RNA", at positions 338 to 795 of the family's 1533-position model. The record is from RNAcentral.
CCUACGGGAGGCUGCAGUGGGGAAUAUUGCACAAUGGGGGAAACCCUGAUGCAGCGACGCCGCGUGGGUGAAGAAGUAAUUCGUUAUGUAAAGCUCUAUCAGCAGGGAAGAAAAUGACGGUAUCUAAGUAAGAAGCACCGGCUAACUACGUGCCAGCAGCCGCGGUAAUACGGAGGGUGCAAGCGUUAUCCGGAUUCACUGGGCGUAAAGAGAGCGUAGGCGGGAGUGCAAGUCUGGAGUGAAAGGCGGGGGCUCAACCAUAGGACUGCUCUGGAAACUGUAAGUCUAGAGUGCGGGAGAGGUAGGUGGAAUUCCUGGUGUAGGGGUGAAAUCCGUAGAGAUUAAGAGGAACACCAAUGGCGAAGGCGACUUGCUGGACUGUAACUGACGUUGAGGCUCGAAAGCGUGGGGAGCAAACAGGAUUAGAUACCCGGGUAGUC